GACGAACGCUGGCGGCGUGCUUAACACAUGCAAGUCGAACGGAAAGGCCCUGCUUGCAGGGUACUCGAGUUGCCAACGGGUGAGUAACACGUGGGUGAUCUGCCCUGCACUUCGGGAUAAGCCUGGGAAACUGGGUCUAAUACCGGAUAGGAGCCAUUUUUAGUGGGAUGGUUCAAAAGUUUUUUCGGUGUUGGAUGAGGUCGCGGCCUAUCGGCUUGUUGGUGGGGUAAUGGGCUACCAAGGCGGCUAGGGGUAGCCGCCCUGAGAGGGUGGACGGCGACACAGACUCUGAGGUGAGGCAGAAGUGCGUAAGGUAGGACGCUGUGGGGAAGCCUGCACAAUCGACGCCGGGUUGGUGCAGCAAGGCCGCGUGUUGGAAGACGGCCUUCUUGUGGUAGAAAACUUGCGCUAGAAACGAAGCUUGUUGUGACGGUACCUAAAUAAGAAGCACCGGCUAACUACGUG
Molecule: ribosomal RNA, 465 nt
Filed under: uncultured bacterium
Lineage: Bacteria
Description: partial 16S ribosomal RNA
Rfam family: Bacterial small subunit ribosomal RNA
Source: RNAcentral